CCUACGGGUGGCUGCAGUGGGGGAUAUUGCACAAUGGGGGGAACCCUGAUGCAGCGACGCCGCGUGGGUGAAGGAGUGCUUCGGCAUGUAAAGCCCUAUCGGCAGUGAAGAAGCAAGACGGUACCUGACUAAGAAGCCCCGGCUAACUACGUGCCAGCAGCCGCGGUAAUACGUAGGGGGCGAGCGUUAUCCGGAUUCACUGGGUGUAAAGGGGGCGUAGACGGCCAUGCAAGCCAGGGGUGAAAGCCCGGGGCCCAACCCCGGGACUGCUCUUGGAACUGCGUGGCUGGAGUGCAGGAGGGGCAGGCGGAAUUCCUGGUGUAGCGGUGAAAUGCGUAGAUAUCAGGGGGAACACCGGUGGCGAAGGCGGCCUGCUGGACUGCAACUGACGUUGAGGCCCGAAAGCGUGGGGAGCAAACAGGAUUAGAUACCCUUGUAGUC
This 441-nucleotide ribosomal RNA is filed under the name uncultured bacterium. RNAcentral's name for it is "partial 16S ribosomal RNA". It matches the Rfam family "Bacterial small subunit ribosomal RNA", at positions 338 to 795 of the family's 1533-position model. The record is from RNAcentral.